RNAcentral lists this unclassified non-coding RNA (191 nucleotides) under uncultured fungus. RNAcentral's name for it is "sequence contains ITS1". Lineage: Eukaryota; Fungi. The record is from RNAcentral.
UUAUCAGGUUAUAUCAUAAGAUUGACAUCGACGACUACGUGGUUUGGUGGAGGCGCGGGUCCGCCCGGGGGCGGGGGUCCACGACGGUUCACGGUGUUUCUCAUUAGGGCCAGUGGCUUUUCGCCCGGGGGCUACUUCGCCGGCCGACUGGGAGUUCACUAAUGAUCCUUCCGCAGGUUCACCUACGGAAA